UCCCUGCACGAUGGGAUUCUUAUUCUUCUAAUAUCUCUGCGCUAACUAAACGUUUCGAUCUUUGAAGAAUGGGAGCAAUGGAAACCACACAUUUUUACCUACCAGUUGAGCAUCUCUCAUAGUCUAAUAUAAUGGACAUUAAUAAAAACAACGAAAAUAGGUAUAUUUAUUCGGACAACGUCGAGGAAGUUUAUAACGUGCCAAUUGAAGUUAUCAUACGACCAAUCCCUYCUGUACUAGACGAGAGCAAAGUUCAGAGCCUUAUGGGUACAAUACCGGUAAAAAUGUGGCCUAGUUCUGCCUAGAUCAAACAAUAAGAGAGUUGAUUGUUAAGUGGUGGUGGUAUAAAUACAGACGGCAGCAAGAAAAUAGUGAAGAUUAUCUUCUUAAUUAAUUGAGAAACUAGGCUACUGUAUUAGACUGAUAAACCUCUAGUUUGAAUGACACAUUUUUGCCAUGUUUAUUGAAUGUAUCAAACGUGUAUUUCCUUGUUCUGUGUGAUAAAUGACCUCUGAAAUAGAAUAGAAAAACUUACCAAAUACAGUAUUUUUCCUCAUAGGAAUCUAGACAUCAGCACUGUUCCUCCCAUUGAUAUACUCUGGAUCAAGGGAAGGGAAGGAGGAAAUUACUACUACUUUGGAGGCUGUCACCGUUUUGAGGCAAACAAAUGGUUGAAAAUGAAAACCAUUCCAGCAAAGAUCUUCAAAUCAAAUGUUGCAGACCUGCACACUUACUUGGGUGCCUCAACCCCAGACCUACAGUGAAAUGUGAUUAAUUGAGGACUAUAGAGCCAUGUUAUACUCCAUGUGAAUCAGUGUUUUCAACUGUAAAUGUGCAGUGCAAGUACUGACAAGCAGGUUAGAUCAACAACAGGAUCUGUGAGUAACGACGGAGGAACAUCCCCCAUCACCACAGAAGAGCCAACCUCCAACUCCAUCAGACCACUCUCAUCAGCAAACGUUUUAACUCUCCAUCCAAAGCCACUGCCUUGUCUACUAGUAUAUUCCCAAAGGUCAUCUAGAACAGUAACAUCUCAAGUUGGUACUUGAAAAUUACUUGAAUUAAAAUGAGAGGAGAAUAGAUAAUGUUCAAAUAUUUUAAUGAAACAUUUUAUUAAAUGUAUUGGUCUUGCAAAUUAA
Molecule: non-coding RNA, 1139 nt
Organism: Salvelinus sp. IW2-2015
Lineage: Eukaryota; Metazoa; Chordata; Actinopteri; Salmoniformes; Salmonidae
Source: RefSeq, a predicted model, not a curated record